AUGGCUCAGGACGAACGCUGGCGGCGUGCCUAAUACAUGCAAGUCGAACGGUCUUUCUAUGGAAGCUUGCUUCCACUGAGAAGAUAGUGGCGAACGGGUGAGUAACACGUGGGUAACCUGCCCAUAAGAGGGGGGAUAACAUCCGGAAACGGGUGCUAAUACCGCAUAGUUUCUUGAUUGCAUGAUCGGGAAAGGAAAGACGGCCUUUGUGCUGUCGCUUAUGGAUGGACCCGCGGCGUAUUAGUUAGUUGGUGAGGUAACGGCUCACCAAGACGAUGAUACGUAGCCGACCUGAGAGGGUGAUCGGCCACAUUGGGACUGAGACACGGCCCAAACUCCUACGGGAGGCAGCAGUAGGGAAUCUUCCGCAAUGGACGAAAGUCUGACGGAGCAACGCCGCGUGAGUGAAGAAAGGUUUUCGGAUCGUAAAACUCUGUUGUCAGAGAAGAACAAGUUGGAGAGUAACUGCUCCAGCCUUGACGGUAUCUGACCAGAAAGCCACGGCUAACUACGUGCCAGCCGCAGC
Molecule: ribosomal RNA, 526 nt
Filed under: uncultured bacterium
Lineage: Bacteria
Description: bacterial SSU rRNA
Rfam family: Bacterial small subunit ribosomal RNA
Source: RNAcentral